CAACUUUCAGCAACGGAUCUCUUGGCUCUCGCAUCGAUGAAGAACGCAGCCAAAUGGGAUAAGUAAUGUGAAUUGCAGAAUUCAGGUAAUCAUCCAAUCUUUGAACGCACCUUGCGCUCCUUGGUAUUCCGAGGAGCAUGCCUGUUUGAGUGUCAUUA
Molecule: ribosomal RNA, 158 nt
Filed under: uncultured Cortinarius
Lineage: Eukaryota; Fungi; Basidiomycota; Agaricomycetes; Agaricales; Cortinariaceae
Description: 5.8S ribosomal RNA
Rfam family: 5.8S ribosomal RNA
About the family: 5.8S ribosomal RNA (5.8S rRNA) is a component of the large subunit of the eukaryotic ribosome.
Source: RNAcentral